UUUAUUAGAGGGGCCAAAAAUUGGUGGCCGGGAUUUUGUGAAUUGUUUGAACGUUGAACAACAGAUGUAGUAGCGCAAAAGAUGUUAUGCUAGAAAUAACCUAUGUUUUCAUAUAUUAAUAUCUAUUUUGAUUGAAUGUUGUAAGAAUCUUUAAUCUCAGUCGACAGUGAUUAAUGAAUAAUUGUGUGAGUGUGUGAAAUAGACUAGUUAUUAUUAUUUGAAAUAUAUUAAGAGUCUCGGGUCUCUGCUAGUGUCAUCACUUUGAAACAUGUAUGUUUAUUUUUAAAGCUACAUUUUUAUGCAUCGCAAGUGUUCACUUGAGCAAGUUUGACAGUUGUAAUCUGUCGUGCUCUUGGAAGUAUCCGUAAAAUAAACAAGUAAGAGUUUAAUGGUCAAGAUUUUACGACCUAUGGUAUCGAACAUCUGUGUCUGGGAUUUCACAGAGAGAUAUUUAUGAUGUUGUGGUUUUUACAUAAUGAGUUCUAAUGAGAUUUAAUGGAUAGAUUAGUUGAUUUGUAACUAUAAAAUUUAUGCACACUUGUCAUUUUGACAGAUCAGAUAAACAGAAUUUCCGUUUCAAGACUGCAAUUUAAUUACACUGGGAUUUAAGUUUAACCCAUGAUCAUUGAUUAUAAUCAUUGAAACAUGUUUUAUUGUUUUCUGUUUUCAUAAUAUACAUUUCGACAUAAUAUUUUUUUACUGCAUAUUUCAACGAAGAAAAAGAAACCUUUUAUUCUAGAUAUUUUAAAACUUUCUGUUUUUAUUU
RNAcentral lists this long non-coding RNA (766 nucleotides) under Mytilus galloprovincialis (Mediterranean mussel). Lineage: Eukaryota; Metazoa; Mollusca; Bivalvia; Mytilida; Mytilidae. The record is from RNAcentral.